GACGAACGCUGGCGGCGUGGAUUAGGCAUGCAAGUCGAACGGUAUCAUCCUUUCGGGGGUGAGAGAGUGGCGAACUGGUGAGUAACACGUAGGUUAUCUACCCUCAAGACGGGGACAACCCAGGGAAACUUGGGCUAAUACCGGAUGUGAGCAACUUUUAGUUGUUUGAAAGGUGGCGUAAGCUGUCGCUUGGGGAUGAGCCUGCGUCCUAUUAGUUAGUUGGUGAGGUAACGGCUCACCUAGGCAAUGAUAGGUAGGCGGCCUUAACGGGUGGUCGCCCACACUGGGAUUGAGAUACGGCCCAGACUCCUACGGGAGGCAGCAGUCGAGAAUAGUCUACAAUGGUCGGAAGACUGAUAGUGCGACGCCGCGUUGAACGAUGAAUCCCUUCGGGGUGUAAAGUUCUUUUAUAUGUGAGCAGUGCUUCUUAUAUUAACAGUAUGGGGAGAGAGAUAUUAGCAUAUGAAUAAGCAACGGCUAACUCCGUGCCAGCAGCCGCGGUAAACUCG
RNAcentral lists this ribosomal RNA (509 nucleotides) under uncultured bacterium. Its description in RNAcentral is "bacterial SSU rRNA". It matches the Rfam family "Bacterial small subunit ribosomal RNA", at positions 28 to 527 of the family's 1533-position model. The record is from RNAcentral.